This 1823-nucleotide long non-coding RNA is filed under the name Aquilegia coerulea. RNAcentral's name for it is "long non-coding RNA (ACOE_LNC001638)". Lineage: Eukaryota; Viridiplantae; Streptophyta; Magnoliopsida; Ranunculales; Ranunculaceae. The record is from RNAcentral.
AAAUGCCAUAAGACUGGAAUGAGACCAGGCUCACUUAUGACUUGCCCUUGCAUUCAAAUCAACCUGUACACUCAUGAUUCAUGAAGAUGUAUAAAUUGAGGAUGGUGCUCUCUCUUUCCUUCUUCUUCCUUUCUCAGGUAAAAAUCUCUGCUUUUUCAAAUUUUUUUUGAAGAAAUUUGAGUGUUAAUCUUGUUUCUGCAUGUCUUUUUACUGGAAAAUUUUGUGUUUUUCUUCAAUUUGUUUAUAGAAAAAAGUUUGAAAUUUGAAAAAGUUUCAAUCUUUAUGAAAUGGAGAUAUCAACUUGUACUAAUUUCACCAAAUGUGUUGAAUUGGAUUGGGUUUUAAAUAUUUUAGGAUAAAAAUCAUAUUUUGAGAAGUUUGACGGUUGAUUAACCAUUGUACUUGUGGUUUUAAGUAUGAUGAUCACCAUGAAUCACUGUUUACAGAUUAAUUGAUUGGAAACAUAGUUUAAUUGGGUGUUAGUUAUAUUGGGGUUUCUAUCUAUGUAUAUCUUGUGUUUAUGGAUUUUUUUUUUUUUUUUUCUUAAUGCUUGCAAUCGGUUCGAUGAAAUGCUUAAGCCAUUAUUUUGCCUUAACAUAGCUAAUUGUCACAUUUUAAUAUUAGCACUACCUCGUUGAGACCAUUUGGUUGACUUUAUUAAGAGUAACUGAGUAAGUAGUUAGAGUAGUAAUACCAUCUCUGUCCGUCUCAAUUUUUAUCCAUUAUAUACACAACUCUCUGAAUCCCUUGUGCUCUUUCAUUAGGUUAGCAUGCAUACUUGAUAAGCAAGACGUUUAGCUAGAACCUAAUGAAUCUCUGUCAGUCUCAAUUAUUUUAUUUUAUAACCGACAUUAGGUGUCUGAAUGUGUAAUAUUAUUUUAUUUUAUAACCGACAUUAGGUGUCUGAAUGUGUAAUUGGUAAGCAAGAACCUAAUGCAUGUCGAAGUAACUGUCAAUCCAAUUUACAUGCCCAUUGCUCCUUUAAAAUUGAUUACUAUGCAUUAGCUGCCAGUUAAAAAUUAUGGACCUAUUUUUUUUAAUUGGGAAUUCAAUGAGUUAUAAUUGGGGACUAGAGCAUAGCAUUUUGGGUUUUAAAUAUUUAUGAACAAGUUAGUAAUGCUAUUUUUUAAUCUUAUUGGUGAAUGAAAGCGUGUGAGGUAAGUUAGUUAUUUGGGGUGGGGAACAAGCUCAAAUUCAGUAGUUGCUUGUAAUGGGACCUGAUAUGCUUCUACAUGUGAACUAGACUCCAUCGAGUGUGCCUAUGAUAGGAUCCUGCUGCUUAGGAAAGGACUCUAAGAGACUGACUGGCAGUAAACACUCCCUGUUCUUCUAUGAACAAAGUCAUAUAACCAAGUGUCUAAAGUACAUAGAUUUUCUUAGGCCCAAAGACAAAAAUGAAAAGGAGGUUCUAAUUUGAAGCCCAAUUUCUUAAGAGCCUGCUUGUUUGAGAAAAGGUAUAUAACGCUGGUCCCCAACGUGUCACGUUUCUACAUUCUAUACCAUUAUUUGUGUCAAAUAUUGUUAGAAGCUGAAGCAAUUCUAUUAUGUUGAUAUGUUACUAGUACUACACACUAUUGUUGCGAAACCCUACCUUUAAUGUGUUUUACUCAAUUACUCUUCUUUUCUAUAUAGGAUUAGUUUCAUGGCGGAUAAUGAUGGGAGUGGUUCUACAUGAAGAAGAUCCAGAGGAAAAAGGUCAAGGGUAGUGUACAAAUUACCUAGAUGGCUAGUUCAAAUGUUCAAUGAGGGGUCAGAGUCCUUAUGUUAUCAACUUGUACAUUUAGUUAUAUCAAAAUUCCGUUUCCUCUUAACUGAUGUUAUCA